Betta splendens (Siamese fighting fish) is the source of this 2158-nucleotide long non-coding RNA. RefSeq lists it as uncharacterized. The record is from RefSeq and is a predicted model, not a curated record. Lineage: Eukaryota; Metazoa; Chordata; Actinopteri; Anabantiformes; Osphronemidae. The transcript is spliced from 2 exons.
CGUCUGUACGUUCAUGUGUAGGAGCUGACGGCCACAGAACAUGGCGAUCUGCGGCUCCGCCACCUGGGGGCUCGGCCCGUUCACCUCGGCCAUGGCCAGAGCCUGGAGGGCAGAGGGAAGAGGAGACGCAUCAGACCAAAAGUGUUACCCGGGACGGCGCGAUGGAGAGUAAGCGAAAAAUCGAAACUGAGAAGCGAGACGGUGGACGAGGGAGGGGGAAGCUAAUGCACAAGAGGGCUGAGUGCACACGGCGAGAUACGAGAGGCUAUCGGCAAAACUAAAAGUCAGGAGAGGACUUCCUGUUGAGCAGAACCAACAGUAAGUGAGGAGCAGCGCCAAUUAAAAGGCCGACUUAUCAACCAGUGGCCUGUGCUCGGCCUGUUUAUUUACACUCAUGACGAAAAGAUGAAGAGGAUGGUGUUUUUCUACAGUAUUUAAAAGACUGCUCCCUCUCUCCCUCCCUCCCCCCUCCCCUCCCUUCAUCCUAUUAUUGAUCACGGGGUGCGCUGCCUCUGCCUGGGGGAGGGCCCAGGGGAUGCCACGCACAGGAACAAACAGCAUCCGGGGCCGGGAGUCAGGUGUUAAUACAAGCUCAUUGACCGAUCGGCCGCUUCACUACAUUAACGCGGAGACAGAGCGAAAGAGCACAGCGGGGCGGCCGGCAACACAAGACAAGGAGUUCGCUCUCGCCAAUCGUGAGAACGUGCACAAGUCAAAGAGGAAAAAAACAGCAGAGGUCUGAGUCAUCACAGAUCCAGCAGAACAUUCACAGUCAGGAGCGCGUAGCGGUGGAAGAGACACGCCUCGCUCUGGAGCCGCCGUAGAGCCGCCGUCGUUUGAUGUGCGCCGACAGACGGACAGAUGGACCCGCUGGUGACAGACAACGCGGGCGACGCCGAGCCAAUUAGAAGGAAGUUGGCCGAAGGGAAGAGACGGAGGAGAAGAAAGUACGGGAGAGUGACGCCUGAUCAAAGGGAAGCCCUGCUUCGGCCGACGGGAGCGCGAGCGUUUGAAGUCCUAAUUAACAUUCACGCGGAAGGAAAUAAAUAUAUAAAUGCACAAUAAAUAUAAAGGCCCUCAGCAGUUUCUGCAUCAUAAUUGAACUAAUGGAGGUUGGAGUUUCGGCGUGUCUUAGCAGUAUUCUUACAAAUCACUGGCCUGUUUUUCAUUACUGUGACCCUGUCCUGAAGCACGCGGGACGUUUUUAGAUCUAUCGAUGCAUUUUUCAUAAAUCCACAGGCCUCUUUUCAUCUGUUCGCUUAGCAGAUGCUCACGGAGCACAUCCACCCGCCGCACUUGAAUGUUAAAUGUCUGUCUCUGAUUGCGAAACGUUUUCAAGUGUUUCGUUCUCGUCGUCACCUCCAGUGCGACACCUCCGCUUCAAGUCUGUGCAGGUUAACCAUUACUCACUAGUUAUAGCAAAUGAACAACAGGCUUCACCUUCGGGGAACUGUUUAUAGUGUAACGUUUUUCAUUUCUAGCUUUGCCAGCGUGUUGGCUAUUGACGGUACUGAAUUGAAUCCUUGAGGAGUGUGCUCUGGGAUAACAAACACUGCUGAAUCUGCUGAAAUGCCCGGUGUGUGUGCUUCGCUGGUGUCUAACCAGACAUAUCUGUGUGACCCAGGGAAGGUCAGUGCUACAACGAAAAAAAAUCUGAACAGAAAAACAACUUCCGGAUAUUUGAGAAGAUAACCUGGCAGCUCCCCCUGCCCCGGCGCUCGCAUUGUGCCCGCUCUCCACUACUGCUCUUGCAGAAAAUCAAUGCUGAGCGACUGCAACUGUAUCGCCGCGUUCCCCCCCAAUCAAUAACAGUCCAUCAUGAGCUCCGGGCCCUGACCUCCAGCCUGUCAAGCCCGCAGACGCGCCUGAUCGGACCCCUGAUUAGAUCUCCCUCCUGUGAUAACCUCUAGGAAGAAAUAUUGUUUUAAGAUGCGCAUUAUGUUGGUCUGUUGCUCGGCGGCAGCAGAGAAACUCCAGCUAGUUCUUGUCUCUGUGUGGACUAUGAGCAGGUCUUUUCCACAGACAGCUGAUGCCACGCAGACGCCUAUUCAUGACCAGUGAAAUUUGUUGUACUUGACUAUUCUGCAUUUCUUUGUUGAGCUUGUUUUCAUUGUGUAAAUUGUAGCUCAUAGAAUAAUAAAGAUUGUGGGAAACAAGA